RNAcentral lists this long non-coding RNA (2746 nucleotides) under Homo sapiens (human). RNAcentral describes it as "HSALNT0297594". The record is from RNAcentral. Lineage: Eukaryota; Metazoa; Chordata; Mammalia; Primates; Hominidae.
UGUGAGCCGCUGUGCCCAGGCCAAUCCCAGAGAUUUUGAAGAUGAUUUCUCGAUACGAGUUUCACGAAGACUUGAAAAGAAUGUGUCCUCUGUUGUUGGAUGGAGUGUCCUUGAAAUGUUCAUUAGCCUUCUAGCUCCAUUCAGAAGAGCCUCCGAAGUAGAGACCAGAAAUCCUUCUAGUGGGCUGUGCUUUGAGCAGUACUGCUUGUUGACUGCUUUACUUGGAAGGAGAGAUCGACUGAGCCUGAGGGAUCUAAAGCCUUGGGACUUCUGGAUCUGCAAGUGGUCCCUGUUUUGGUAGCUAUUGACUGACGAGGGGCUCUUCGGUAAGUUCUGGGGUGGCAGUGGAGGUGAUGAUGGGAGGGUGUUACAGGGCUCCACAGGCUCUUACAGGGCUCGGGAGCUUAUUUAAGGGAACACCUUGAUUGUCCAUGUGUCGUGGGCCAGAGAAGAAAGGCAGCACUGUGGAUCUUCUGGGAGGAAAGGAGAGGCGUCGAUUUCUGACUCCAGUUUUCUAUGAUCAGCACAGACUCUGUCCCACCUCCUCCCUACAGAGCUUCUGGAUCCUGGAGGAUGGAGAAUAGGCUAAAUUGCACAGGCCAGCUCCAGUCCAUUGGCAGGGCUGCCUAGAACAUGGCUGUGAUGAUCCCAAAGCUCAAUAGCAGAGAACCCUGUGGGGUGCUAGGAGUGUCUGCCAGGGUGCCGCAGGGAAAGGGGAGCAUGUGUGUAGAUGUAGAAAGCAUCUCUGCCAUCCCCUCCCCUAAAGAAUAUAUAACAUGGCCAUGCAGAAAAACACUUGUGAAAGGAGCUGCUGCCCUCAGGACAGCGUGUCAUUGAAAUGGGGGCUGAGCAACCCGUCAGAAGAGUGGGGAGGAGGGACCAUCCUCCAGCCCCUUCCCAGCUCUCUUCUGGAGCCAUAAGCCACAACACUGUCUAUGAAAAAGCUGAGGCCUAGAGCAGAAGGAGUGCAAAAUCCCAGCUACUGCAGGCCUACGCCCAGUGGUUCUCAAAGUGUUGUCCUCAGUCUAGCAGCAUCAGUGUCACCUGAAAACUGGUUAGACAUCCAGGUUCUCAGUUGUUAUCCAGCUCUAGCAGAUGGGAAACGCUGGGGGCGGGACCAGCCAUCUGUGUUUAACAAGCCCCACAGGUGACUGCUGUAGCCUUGAGUGAGGACCUCGGCCAAAAAGAAGGCUCCUACCGUGGCUGUUUGCUGAUGGUCUUCGCAGAGCCUGCUGUCUUUGAGCUUCCUGAGAGAGGGACACUACCCUCGCUUAGCCUGGCAGUGUUGCCCAGGAGGAGGCAGUGGAGUUAAGAAGCCUGGGUCUGAGCUCCUCAGCUGUGCAGACAACUCCUACUUGUUCUUCAACGCUCAACUUUAAGUUCAGUCACCACCUGCAGAAGUCUUCUCCAAAACCUCCCCACCUGGCUGACUAAGGGGCUGGCUUUAUGCUCUUGCAGUACUCAUGCUUCCUACUGUCACAGUUCUGACCACACCGUGGGAAAACGUCUCUAACUAGAGACCUGUCUUGCCUCUUGUGCCUGUAGUACGGGAUGGGUGCCCAGUGUGUGUUGAUUGUAUGAAUCAAUCUCUGUGACUCCAGAGUUCCUUUCUUCAGGAGAUUAGACAUCACCCCUGCAAUCAACAAUGCAAGCCACUGCUGUUUCCUCCAUCCUGAGCAUGAGGAACCUAUCCAGUUUCUCUCUCAGAUGCCAGGGCCAUGAGGCAAGUCCAGCCUUGGCCUAGAACCAAAGAUGGAAACAAAAAGGGGCCAGACUGUGUUGCCUUCUUGAGCCUGGUCUGACUCCUGAGUGGAAGUCUGAUUCCAGGUACAUGAGAUAAGCACUAAUACCUCCAGUUUGCAGAUUAAGAGACUGAGGUCCUGAAGAGGUUAAAGAACUUGGCUCAAGUCACAUAGCUGGUGAGCAGCAAGAUACAAGAAUCAACCCAAGUCCAGGGGGCUGUGUGCCGUUUACACUUCACAUCUGUGCUGCCAGGGCUGUAGCUAUAAAAGCUUGAAAACCAUUACUCUGAGAAUCUCUCUGUUGGGAAAAUGAGUCCCUUCAACUCUAGUUGUUGCCACUGGGAUGCUAACAGAAAGCAAAGUCUCAGAGGAAAGAUGUGGCAUUCCUGAGUGUCUUCCAUGUACCAGGACUUCUAUUUGCUAGCCACUUUAUGUUCCUCAUCCCAUCCUUCUGUGAGGGACAUACUUUUCAGAUGAGAAACGUAAGCUCCGCGAAGCUAAGGGGCCGGACUGAGGUCCCACAGCGAGAGUGUGGAGGAGCCAGGAUCCGAACCCCAUCGCCAGCCCUUGCCAGUUCCAUGAUUCCGGUGCCAGCGCUCGCCUGACCUCCAGGGCUGUCAUGGUGGGAAGGGACUGGAGGGCAUCUGCUGGGCAAAGGAAAGAGACAAACAUCAUCCCAGAGCCUGUCUUCCCUGGGCAAUACCCGGGCCACUCCAGACAUGGCGUCUUUAGCCCUUCCUUGGUCACUGGCCCCCAGGUGAAGAGAGCAUUUUUCUCUGACUCAAGUUCUUGCCUCUGGAUUUGCCAAGCUCCUAUGACAGUCUUCGCCCUUCUGAAGCUCUCUCAGGCUCCCCUUCCAGAAAUCCCGCAGGUUCCACCGACCUCUCUGAGAGCACAGGCGAGUGGUUGAACGGUGGGCUUUAGAGACGGCGCGGCACCAGAGUCCUGUACUGGCUGUGUGAUCCUGAACCUCCUCACUGAGAUUCUCAUCUGCAAGAUGGAGA